Paramuricea clavata is the source of this 421-nucleotide non-coding RNA. The record is from the annotation of a GenBank genome assembly. NCBI's taxonomy places the organism in Eukaryota, Metazoa, Cnidaria, Anthozoa, Malacalcyonacea, Plexauridae.
UCCAAAAAUGUGCAUAUUUUGAAAAAAAAAAUUAAAAAGGACUGGGUCUACCUACAAAAAAAGCUUCAAGCACGGCUUCAACUUCCCCCCCUGACUUAGUCUUCCAGUUAUUAUUAGAGUUCACUGGGCUACCCUAAUCUACGAAUCUGCGAAUGUUUCCGAACAAUCUACGAAUGUUUCCGAACUGUUUACGAUAUAAAAACAUUAAAAAGGUUUGAUCAUUCGGCUCAAAUACUCAAUGUAUUUGUUUAUCGUACGCUUUCUUUUGUUGGAAUAAAAAUAUUCUCCGCAAAAAAUUGCAAAUUUCGAGCUUCGAAGAAAGUUUCUUCGGUAUUAAGGUAAGCGUUUUGAAUUUUUAUAGUAUAUACAGUCCCGAGAACACGUGUAAAAUAUAUUCUGGCAUUUUACACGUGUAAAAUAU